RNAcentral lists this ribosomal RNA (505 nucleotides) under uncultured bacterium. Its description in RNAcentral is "bacterial SSU rRNA". It matches the Rfam family "Bacterial small subunit ribosomal RNA", at positions 19 to 518 of the family's 1533-position model. The record is from RNAcentral.
CUGACUCAGGAUGAACGCUAGCGGCAGGCUUAACACAUGCAAGUCGAGGGGCAUCGGGAGUAGCAAUACUUGCCGGCGACCGGCGCAAGGGUGCGUAACGCGUGAGCAACAUGCCCGUAUCAGGGGGAUAAUCCAUGGAAACGUGGUCUAAUACCCCAUAGUAAUUAUGUAAGGCAUCUUAUAUAAUUUAAAGCUUUGGUGGAUACGGAUUGGCUCACGUGACAUUAGCUGGAUGGUAAGGUAACGGCUUACCAUGGCUACGAUGUCUAGGGGUUCUGAGAGGAAGGUCCCCCCACACUGGAACUGAGACACGGUCCAGACUCCUACGGGAGGCAGCAGUGAGGAAUAUUGGACAAUGGAUGGAAUCUGAUCCAGCCAUGCCGCGUGCAGGAAAGACGGCCCUAUGGGUUGUAAACUGCUUUUGUAUGGGAGCAAUAAGGGCUACGUGUAGUCCGAUGAGAGUACCAUACGAAUAAGCACCGGCUAACUCCGUGCCAGCAGCCGC